RNAcentral lists this ribosomal RNA (433 nucleotides) under uncultured bacterium. RNAcentral describes it as "partial 16S ribosomal RNA". It matches the Rfam family "Bacterial small subunit ribosomal RNA", at positions 29 to 507 of the family's 1533-position model. The record is from RNAcentral.
AACGAACGCUGGCGGCAUGCCUAACACAUGCAAGUCGAACGAGACCUUCGGGUCUAGCGGCGCACGGGUGCGUAACGCGUGGGAACCUGCCCUUAGGUUCGGAAUAACUCCCCGAAAGGGGUGCUAAUACCGGAUAAUGUCUUCGGACCAAAGAUUUAUCGCCUUUGGAUGGGCCCGCGUUGGAUUUGCUAGUUGGUAGGGUAAAAGCCUACCAAGGCGACGAUCCAUAGCUGGUCUGAGAGGAUGAUCAGCCACACUGGGACUGAGACACGGCCCAGACUCCUACGGGAGGCAGCAGUGGGGAAUAUUGGACAAUGGGCGAAAGCCUGAUCCAGCAAUGCCGCGUGAGUGAUGAAGGCCUUAGGGUUGUAAAGCUCUUUUACCCGGGAUGAUAAUGACAGUACCGGGAGAAUAAGCUCCGGCUAACUCCGUG